GCAAACUUGGUCAUUUAGAGGAAGUAAAAGUCGUAACAAGGUUUCCGUAGGUGAACCUGCGGAAGGAUCAUUACUGAAUUACCGAUGGAGUUGAUGCUGGCGUCUCGGCGCAUGUGCUCGCUCUGUCAAAUUCACCCUUACCACCUGUGAACCUUUGUAGACCAACAGUACCUCUCAACGUUCAUUCGUUGGAUCGCGGGAUUUGCGCCUCAGCUAUCCUGCAAUUCGGUUGGUCUAUCUUAUCCCCUAUAAACAAGUCUUAGAAUGUUCUUUGUUGGUCGCAAGACCGAUAAAACUUAUACAACUUUCAACAACGGAUCUCUUGGCUCUCGCAUCGAUGAAGAACGCAGC
RNAcentral lists this unclassified non-coding RNA (351 nucleotides) under uncultured fungus. Its description in RNAcentral is "partial contains small subunit ribosomal RNA, internal transcribed spacer 1, and 5.8S ribosomal RNA". The stretch from base 1 to 73 matches the Rfam family "Eukaryotic small subunit ribosomal RNA", at positions 1759 to 1831 of the family's 1831-position model. Lineage: Eukaryota; Fungi. The record is from RNAcentral.